RNAcentral lists this unclassified non-coding RNA (240 nucleotides) under soil metagenome. Its description in RNAcentral is "partial contains 5.8S ribosomal RNA, internal transcribed spacer 2, and large subunit ribosomal RNA". The record is from RNAcentral.
AAGACUAUAGACCUGCGGAGUACCUGCGGAAGGAUCAUUAAUGAAUAUUAGGGUACUCUUUUAACAAGAGGCCUGACCUUCAUCCUUCUACACUGUGCACUAUUAUUCAAUUCGGUCAGCUGGUAGUUUGGCCGUCUCCGGCCUUACGACGCUGCCGAGUUUCAUUUUUAAACUCUACAAGUCUAAGAAUGUAACAAACCUAAAACCAAAAAAAACUUUCAACAAUGGAUCUCUAGAUCG